UAUAGGUUAGUGUAAAGGCACGUCAAUAUUUGGAGUUGAAUGAAGUAGUGCAAUUCUACUACCCAUAA
RNAcentral lists this transfer RNA (68 nucleotides) under Ceratophysella communis. RNAcentral describes it as "tRNA-Gln". The record is from RNAcentral. Lineage: Eukaryota; Metazoa; Arthropoda; Collembola; Poduromorpha; Hypogastruridae.